UGGUGGACAUGGACAAUAUGCAGCGUCAGUUCCUGGGGCACCAUCAGCUCCAGCAUCUCCAUCUUUUCCUGGAGCUCCAGCCUCUCCAUCCUUUCCGUUUGGUCC
Caenorhabditis elegans is the source of this 105-nucleotide non-coding RNA. Lineage: Eukaryota; Metazoa; Nematoda; Chromadorea; Rhabditida; Rhabditidae. The record is from Ensembl.